AUUGAACGCUGGCGGCAUGCUUUACACAUGCAAGUCGGACGGCAGCACAGAGAAGCUUGCUUCUUGGGUGGCGAGUGGCGAACGGGUGAGUAACAUAUCUGAACGUACCGAGCAGUGGGGGAUAACUAAUCGAAAGAUUAGCUAAUACCGCAUAUCUUCUGAGGAAGAAAGCAGGGGACCAUUUGGCCUUGCGCUGUUUGAGCGGCCGAUAUCUGAUUAGCUAGUUGGUGGGGUAAAGGCCUACCAAGGCGACGAUCAGUAGCGGGUCUGAGAGGAUGAUCCGCCACACUGGGACUGAGACACGGCCCAGACUCCUACGGGAGGCAGCAGUGGGGAAUUUUGGACAAUGGGCGCAAGCCUGAUCCAGCCAUGCCGCGUGUCUGAAGAAGGCCUUCGGGUUGUAAAGGACUUUUGUCAGGGAAGAAAAGCGCGGGGUUAAUACCCCUGUCUGAUGACGGUACCUGAAGAAUAAGCACCGGCUAACUACGUG
This 490-nucleotide ribosomal RNA is filed under the name uncultured bacterium. RNAcentral describes it as "partial 16S ribosomal RNA". It matches the Rfam family "Bacterial small subunit ribosomal RNA", at positions 30 to 507 of the family's 1533-position model. The record is from RNAcentral.